RNAcentral lists this ribosomal RNA (504 nucleotides) under uncultured bacterium. Its description in RNAcentral is "bacterial SSU rRNA". It matches the Rfam family "Bacterial small subunit ribosomal RNA", at positions 28 to 517 of the family's 1533-position model. The record is from RNAcentral.
GAUGAACGCUAGCUACAGGCUUAACACAUGCAAGUCGAGGGGCAGCAUUAUCGAAGCUUGCUUUGAUAGAUGGCGACCGGCGCACGGGUGAGUAACGCGUAUCCAACCUUCCCCAUAGUCAGGAAUAGCCCGGCGAAAGUCGAAUUAAUGCCUGAUGUUUUCCACGGACGGCAUCUGAUGUGGAACAAAGAUUCAUCGCUAUGGGAUGGGGAUGCGUCUGAUUAGCUUGUUGGCGGGGUAACGGCCCACCAAGGCAACGAUCAGUAGGGGUUCUGAGAGGAAGGUCCCCCCACAUUGGAACUGAGACACGGUCCAAACUCCUACGGGAGGCAGCAGUGAGGAAUAUUGGGUCAAUGGGCGAAGCCUGAACCAGCCAAGUAGCGUGAGGGAUGACUGCCCUAUGGGGUUGUAAACCCUCUUUUUAANAAGGGAAUAAAAUACGGGACGUGUCCUGUUUGCAUGUACCUUAUGAAUAAGGACCGGCUAAUUCCGUGCCAGCAGCCG